Long non-coding RNA from Hibiscus syriacus, 162 nucleotides. RefSeq lists it as uncharacterized. The record is from RefSeq and is a predicted model, not a curated record. NCBI's taxonomy places the organism in Eukaryota, Viridiplantae, Streptophyta, Magnoliopsida, Malvales, Malvaceae. The transcript has 3 exons.
GGAAGAUGCCGGUUCAUUGGUGCAUGCUUUCUUAUUUGGGCAAGUGGAGCCCUUGAUCCUGAGAGAAACGAAUCUGGUGAUCUUGUAACAUCUGUAAAAAGGGGUGUAUGGGCAAUGAUUGCAGUUAUUCUUGCUUAUUGCUUGCUGCAAGCUCCUUCCACG